GCCAGGUGUGGUGGUGCACACCUGUAAUCCCAGCAGCUCGGGAGGCUGAGGCAGGAGGAUCGCCAGUUCAAAGCCAGCCUCAGCAAAAUCGAGGUGCUAAGCAACUCAGUGGGACCCUGUCUCUA
This 125-nucleotide small RNA is filed under the name Marmota monax (woodchuck). The record is from RNAcentral. Lineage: Eukaryota; Metazoa; Chordata; Mammalia; Rodentia; Sciuridae.